GCAACCUAAGACAUCAGUGAGUAAUGACUUAUCAACGGACUUUAUCUAUGUUCCAAAAAAGGAAACUACAUCAGUAAGGAUGGCUGAGGAUGUGGUAAGGCAUGCAAUUCCAGUUGUGAGAUUGGCAGUGCCUUUUAUGCCAUAUGGUGAUCCCCUCCAAAUAAGCCAGGAGAUGCUGACAGGUUUUCAAGCUCGCCCAUGGUUUACCAGGAAGAAGUGCAGAGGUCCUCAAAUUAGACUUAGUCGAAGCUGUAAUUUCCACUGAGCACUGUCUUCUGGUCAGGACACGGGUCUCCAGGAAGCAGAGCUUGUUAGUGCAGGCCUAGAGCCAUGCUCCUGUGGCAGCAGCACUUCAGGACUUGAGCUAGUUCAGGCCAUGCCAAACCAAAAAAGGAUGCCAAAUACUAACAAGCCCCAGCAGCUGUCAAUAAACUCUGAAUGGAUCACAAGAUGGUGCUAUUACACAUGGCCCUGGAUAUCAAUCUUCAUCUCCUUUCAGAUAUUUAAAUUAUUCUUUAUUGUAAGAAGAAAUAUUGUGUUACAUUGGAGUGCAUUUGAGAUUUUGUUUUUCUGAGAAUGUCUUUUAUAAGUACUUAUCUCAUUUCCAGGUCUGAGAUACAGUUUCUUAGUAAAAUAAGUCUGCCAGAGAGUCUGCCUCACUGAGUCAUUGGAAAUGGAAGCAGAUAUUUAAGGGUGCCAGGCGCACAGUCCUAUACAGUUUUAAUUUAGGGCUUUCUAGUUCAAAACUCAUGAAUAAAAAGGCCA
RNAcentral lists this long non-coding RNA (765 nucleotides) under Phasianus colchicus (ring-necked pheasant). RNAcentral describes it as "lncRNA (ENSPCLG00000007790.1)". The record is from RNAcentral. Lineage: Eukaryota; Metazoa; Chordata; Aves; Galliformes; Phasianidae.